This 223-nucleotide ribosomal RNA is filed under the name Penicillium ochrochloron. RNAcentral's name for it is "partial 28S large subunit ribosomal RNA". It matches the Rfam family "Eukaryotic large subunit ribosomal RNA", at positions 3179 to 3399 of the family's 3401-position model. Lineage: Eukaryota; Fungi; Ascomycota; Eurotiomycetes; Eurotiales; Aspergillaceae. The record is from RNAcentral.
UCGUAGUUUGAUACUAAUAGGCCUCCGGGCACGCACCUCAGCAAGCUGUGCUGACGUGCUCCCUUGGAUAAACCCUUGGGAGCUGGCUGGCGAAUUGCAAUGUCACCUCGCGCGGGGAAGAUCCUCUGCAGACGACUGCAAGAUGACCAAGCGGGUCGUGUAAGCGGUCGAGUGGCCUUGUUUGCUACGAGUCGCUGAGCGUCACCCGACCUUGGCUAGAUUU